Molecule: unclassified non-coding RNA, 668 nt
Filed under: Hevea brasiliensis (rubber tree)
Lineage: Eukaryota; Viridiplantae; Streptophyta; Magnoliopsida; Malpighiales; Euphorbiaceae
Source: RNAcentral
GAAGAGUGAUGUGUACAGUUUUGGAGUAGUCCUAAUGGAGUUGGUCACAGGAAAAAGGCCAGUAGAACCAGAAUUUGGAGAGAACAAGGACAUAGUAUACUGGGUUUGCAGCAAAAUGACAAGCAAAGAGAAUGCACUUGAUUUAGUGGACUCAAACAUCUCAGAGAACCUGAAGGAGGAUGCCAUCAAAGUUCUGAAAAUCGCUAUGCACUGCACAGCAAAAAUCCCAGCUUUAAGACCAUCAAUGAGAAUGGUAGUUCAGAUGCUGGAAGAGGCUGAACCACAUAAACUUACAGAUGUCGUUGUGGUCAAGAAAGAAGGUGGAGCUAGUCCAGAUGAGAAAUUGAAGGCUACCAGCAUAUUUGAUCUCAGCACUUGAAAUUUUCUUUUGAAGCUUAUUCACUUGCAGUAAUGAGCAUGUAAUUUUUAGUUUAGUAGUUUACUGAUAUUAUAGAACUCAGCCUGUGAAAUUUGCAGCAGAACUUUAGAUUUCUAGGUAGGAGAAGAACCUUAAGUAUCUGAAAGAACAAGGAUAUGUAUUAUUUAGAUCUCAUCUUUUUGUAUUGAAGUUACACAAAAUGACAUUUUGCCUUGCAAAUGUAACGUGUGUUCUUCAGGAUGGCAAUGCCCUUAGCAAUUGCCAAUGUGAAUAUGUUGGUUUAAUUUCA